This 70-nucleotide transfer RNA is filed under the name SAR202 cluster bacterium. RNAcentral describes it as "tRNA-Asn". The stretch from base 2 to 60 matches the Rfam family "tRNA", at positions 7 to 64 of the family's 71-position model. Rfam says of the family: Transfer RNA (tRNA) molecules are approximately 80 nucleotides in length. Their secondary structure includes four short double-helical elements and three loops (D, anti-codon, and T loops). Further hydrogen bonds mediate the characteristic L-shaped molecular structure. tRNAs have two regions of fundamental functional importance: the anti-codon, which is responsible for specific mRNA codon recognition, and the 3' end, to which the tRNAs corresponding amino acid is attached (by aminoacyl-tRNA synthetases). tRNAs cope with the degeneracy of the genetic code in two manners: having more than one tRNA (with a specific anti-codon) for a particular amino acid; and 'wobble' base-pairing, i.e. permitting non-standard base-pairing at the 3rd anti-codon position. Lineage: Bacteria; Bacillati; Chloroflexota; Dehalococcoidia. The record is from RNAcentral.
UAUAGCUCAGCGGUAGAGCGGGCGGCUGUUAACCGCUAGGUCGUAGGUUCGAAUUCAACUCGGGGAGCCA